UAGACCUCUAUACCGAAAUACCCGAAAAUCCGAAAUAUCCGAUCCGAACCCGAACGGGUACCCGAACGCCCACCCCUAGGCGAGAAGUUGGCUGUAACUUGUUCUCAUAUAAAAGCAGUUUGAAAACAAAAACAGACACACUUGUGAAGUUAUGUUCUUCAUCUCCCGCCUGAGAGCCAGAGAAAAUGGCUUCUACCAUACCUUCUUCUCCAAGCCCCUCUCUUUCUCCACUACCUCCGUAUUCCACCUGAAGAAAACUCAUGAUCAUGUUCUUGACCCUCGAGUAGAAGAAGAUGCACUAGAAGAAGAAGACCGUCGACGCAGCGUAACCGACAGAGCGUAUUGGAGAAGACGGAUACACAGUCUCUGCACCCUACGUAAAAGCCCCGACGAAGCUCUCCGAAUCAUCGACGGCCUCUGCCUCCGCGGAUACCGCCCCGACUCGCUUAACCUCAGCAGCGUGAUCCACGCUCUCUGCGACGCGGGAAGAUUCGAGGAAGCUCACCGUCGCUGUCUCCUCUUCGCCGCUUCGGGUUUUAUUCCCGACGAGCGUACCUGCAACGUUAUCAUCGCGAGGCUGCUCGAUUCGGGGGAUCCGGUGAGCACGUUGAGGGUUGUGCAUCGGUUGAUCGGUGUCAAGAGAGAGUUCGUGCCGUCGUUGACGAAUUAUAACCGUUUGAUUAAUCAGAUGUGUUUGAUGAAUAGAGUGAGGGAUGCGCAUAAGCUUGUGUUUGAGAUGAGGAGCAGAGGGCAUAGACCCAAUGUCGUGACGUACACGACUCUGAUCGGUGGGUACUGCGAGAUUCGUGAGAUUGAAGUUGCGCAUAAGGUGUUCGACGAAAUGCGUGCGUGUGGCGUGAGGCCUAACUGUCUCACGCUGAGUGUUCUUAUUGGUGGGUUUUUGAAAAGGAGAGAUCUUGAAGCAGGGAGGAAGAUGAUGGAGGAGCUUUGGGGAGAGAUGAAGGAUGAGACUGAUGCAUCAGUGAAGUCAGCAGCUUUUGCGAAUCUGAUUGAUUCUUUGUGCAGGGAAGGUUAUUUCAACGACGUUUUUGAGAUUGCAGAGGAUAUGCCACAGUGUGAGUCCGUGAACGUUGAGUUUGCUUACGGGCAUAUGAUGGAUUCUUUGUGUCGGUAUAAGAGAAACCAUGGAGCUGCGAGGAUUGUUUAUAUCAUGAAGUGUAAAGGGUUAAAGCCUAUAAGCACGUCUUACAAUGCUAUUAUUCAUGGUUUGUGCAAGGAUGAUGGGUGUAUGAGAGCUUAUCAGUUUCUAGAAGAGGGAUCUGAGUUUGGUUUUUUCCCGUCUGAGUAUACUUAUAAGCUCUUAGUGGAGAGUCUAUGCAAGGAGCAUGACACUGGUAAGGCGAGGAAUGUUCUAGAGCUGAUGUUGAGAAAAGAAGGAACAGAUAGAACUAGAAUCUAUAAUAUCUACCUACGUGCUCUCUGCGUAGUGGAUAAUCCGACAGAGAUCCUAAAUGUUCUGGUCAGUAUGCUUCAGGGAGACUGUAGGCCCGAUGAGUAUACACUUAACACAGUCAUUGAUGGAUUUUGCAAGAUGGGUAGAGUGGAUGACGCCAUGAAAGUUCUUGGCGAUAUGAUGACAGGGAAGUUCUGCGCACCUGAUGCUGUGACUUUAACUACUGUUAUGUGUGGCUUGCUUACUCAAGGAAGAGCAGAAGAAGCUCUUCAUGUGUUGAAUCGAGUUAUGCCAGAGAACGGGUUUAAGCCAAGUGUUGUUACAUACAACGCUGUUAUGCGUGGAUUGUUCAAGCUCCGUAAGGGAGAUGAAGCUAUGCGUGUGUUUGAUCAGAUGUCGAAGGCAGGUGUGAUCGCAGAUAAUACUACAUAUGCUAUCAUCAUUGACGGGUUGUGUGUGACUGGUCAGGUGGAUACGGCGAAGAGGUUCUGGGACGAUGUGAUAUGGCCAUCGGGCAGACAUGAUGCGUAUGUGUAUUCAGCAUUUCUGAAAGGUCUUUGUCGGUUUGGUAGUCUAAGUGAUGCUUGCCAUUUCCUAUACGAACUGGCGGAUUCUGGAGCGGUUCCUAAUGUUGUGUGCUAUAACAUUGUGAUCGAUGAAUGUAGCAGAAGUGGGUUGAGGAGAGAGGCGUACCAGAUUAUAGAGGAGAUGAGGAAGAACGGUCGGGCUCCUGAUGCUGUCACAUGGCGGAUACUUGAUAAACUACAUGAUUCCAGAGCUUUAGCAGUGGAAGGAGAGUAAUCUUCAAACUCGGCAAAACUACAUGUUUUUGGCAUAUUGUUUUUUAUUUUAUUUUAUGAUUGCUGGUAGAAAGUAAAGCUGUGUAUGUGAAAUUAUAAAGUGUAAAACAAGUGGCCUAGUUUGUGAGUUCCUUGCCGGCAAAUUCAAAAGCUCAGUUAGUUGAAUACUUAUAUAUUCAUCUACAGCAACAUGAGUGGAGCCAGUAAAAAUGGUUCUUCAGAGACAUCAAUCCAGACAGCUAUUUUAAAGAUGUACAAAGACAAGCAUUACAUACUGAUCUAUUACUAAUGGUAGGGAAAACAGAGCCAACCAAUGCAAAGUGGAAACCACCAAUGGUUUUAACUUGUUCCACCACUUUGCUGUUGAGCCUGCGACUCCCAGAAGAGUCUGACUUCAAGCUCAUCAAGCGAAAAGAGCGUGGAUACUACGUUACCGCUGCGUUUCCAUCACAUUACACCGCGGUGGUUCUUCAUAAAUUUGGCUCUGCGAUCCUCUCAGCGGAGCUGCUAUCUUUUACCGAGGUUCUCGGAUUUCUUGCUCACUCAGCAUCCCUGCUCAUCGAGUCUCCACUGACGUUUUGAGACCCUGGCUCGUCAGAACUAGGAUUUCACAGCCUGCAGAAGCGUUAACUGACGAGAUGUCUGCUAUUACGCUUGAUCUAGGUGCCGCCUCCAUCUCGAGUCAGACUCGUAUCUACGUCACCCAUUGCUAUCUACAACCAAAACUUUAUUUCCCAAUCCACACAGGCAAGGUCUCUCCCAAUUUCAUUGCAGCUGCACCUAAACUCAGCAUACACGUUUACAGACUCGGGUAGACAAUACAUGUUAACUAUACAUACCUUCAGAAAUAUUAAAGCAUCUGGCAACCCUUCCCACUGAGAUAAUCUGUUUUUGAGAAGAUUAGAAUUUUCCUCCAGAAACAUGUCCUCCAAUAUGCUUGAGUUGUAAGUCGGCGUGGGCAGAGAGUCACCAUCUUUAUCAUCAAAACAAAUCAUAAUGAUUAUUAAACUGUUGUCUCAACAUAUUCGUCAAGAGAAAACUCAACAUUCCUGAAACAAACCGCAUUACCCACAGUAACAUAACAAAGGUUGCAACAUCAAACAGUGAUUUUUCUGAAGGUAUUUAUUUUUCUUAUGGAAAAUCCAGGAAAGAGAUCAACAUUCUCAGCGUCAAAACAUUCUCACCUUUCUUAGCGAAAAACAAAACUAGAGCACACAUACCUGGGAAAACAACUAAGACUGGCUUCCUCGCCUCGUUCUGUAAGGCUGACCAUUCAACUUUCUCAACGGACGAUGACAACAACAAAUGGUUUUAAAAGUGUCUAUAUGGCCAAGGAUCCCAAUCAUCACAAUUAGGAGAUCAGCCUAUAUGGCCAAGGAUCCCCUAAACAACAACAACUAAACAACUCAACCAGUUAGUCACUUUCUUUUCCAAAAGAUGACUAACUUCAAUCAACAAGAUUAAUUAAACGAGAAAGCAUUUAAUUAAAUCUACUCAAUCAAUCUACUCAAUCAAACAGUUACCUAGAUAGUUCGGCCUCCUGCUACGACACUAUCUUUAAAGAUAAGGGAACCUGUACUCAACCAUAUCAACACGCAAAAAUAUAAAUCAUGAUGCAUCCUAGUCUUAGUCAGGUUAUUAUCUCAGUCUUAAUUUCAUUCAACCAUGCAACAGCAUGAGCAUUCUACUCUAUAUAAGACUCGAUCUUUCCUAAGUUCCAAAUGGAACUCACAAAACUACCCUAAAUUCUAAGUGGAAUUCACACAAGCCAACUCACAAAACUACCCUAAAUUACAAGUGAAAUUUAAACAAGUCAACUCACAGAACUACCCUAAAUUCCAAGUGGAAUUCAAACAAGCCAAGUCACAGUGUUCUAGGCGAGAAGCAGCUGGUUGAUCGGAGAGGACUUUACCAAAACCCAAGGGACGACUUGACUGGACUUGACUGAUCUCGACUUGGACAAACCUCGGCUUCACCAUGAAGAAACUAACAAGCCUCGACAGACUGAUCUGGACUCGGACAAAACCUCCUUUAGCUCCUGGACAGUUCUUCGGACUUCCCGGCGGAGUAUCAAGUUUCAGAACUUCGACUGAUCUGAAUCCAUGGAACUGAACUAAAUAUGAACAAUACCUCCACUUGAUCAUCAAAGGAACUGACUGGCCUGGACGGACUGCUAUGGACAGAGCUUCCGCCUCACCAUCGUAGAAAUCAUCGAUUGGACGGAACUGGCUUUCUCGGUGGAGUAUCGGUCUUCAGAAUCGACCAUACUCUACAUCGACCACUUUCUUUAUUUCUCUCUCUCUAGCCACGUUGACUUGCUUCCCAUCUGAACUGAUCUUCAUUUUAUUGACCUUCAGUUGGACAGAACCUUCCCUAGGCGCUGACUCGAAUUCAGUAGAAAACUGACCUCAAAAACUCUGUAAAACUCUCAAAAUAGCUCGGAAACUCUUGCUUUCUUUUUAUACUUUUCUCUCACGUUUUAAACUUGGUUUGGACAGGUCUGGAUGUGAUGAAAUGAGCUGGGGUCGUGGGAUAUUUAUAGAAGACAACAACCAAUCAGUUUCAGGUUGGUGGCAGCCCGUGUGUCGACGCAUGCGCGGCGGCACCUCAUACUCUACAUGGCUGGCUGCAUGUCUCAGCCUCAUGCAGGUCAAUACACCUCCUCCCACAUGUCAGGAUGCAUGCCUGGAGUGCAUGCAAGACGCCACACAAGUACACACAUGCCGAUCAGCAUGCUUCGGUUGCAUGCGCAGAGACACCUCGUGCUUGGUCGAUCCACCUCGUGUUCAACAUGUCAUUUCUCAUGCUACUGCUUCAUGCACGGACACACCUCAGGCUUCUGUAGACACUAAGCUUACUGGACUGUUGACACCACGUUCUGAUCCCAUGCAACGAGCCACCUCGAGCUUCUCGGUUCAUUCGUCUGAUUUUGGUCCUUCCAGCAAUUUUCUGAUCCGCGAUAAACUCCGAAUAUUCUGCUCCCAUUCAGAUGAGUUUAAUAUUUUUAAUAAACUCCAAUCUGAAGUCUGACCUUGGCGGUAAAUAUUUCCCAAUCCUUCGGCUUCAUCGAAGACUUCCAUAAUACUGAAAUUAGGGGUUCGUCCAAUUUUGGAUUUUCCUGUCCUCCUUAACUCCCGUCUUGCUUCCAAUGUCUUCGAAAUAAUAUUCUGCUGAUACGAAGUUUCGUGGAAAACUUCGUGCUGAAGAAACGUCAUUCUUCCAAAACGUCGAGCUUCGAAACCGUCGUGCUUCCAAAAAUGUUCUGCUUCCAAGACAUCUGUCUGAUCAAUUUAAGACAUCUUCUAAGUAUGGUCGAACAACUUAUUCGACUCAUAGUUCACUCACGAUCACUUCUUCGCCCACCUCAUACUUCAAAACUUCUCAAUCGAUCCUUAUCGCCCGCGACUCGACCACCACAAGGAUACUCGACCAUUCUCUAUCUUUUUUUUUUUACAGGUUUCUACAAUUAGGAUAUCAUCUUUCAUCCUUACUUCACAACCUACUUUGGUGGCUUGACCUAAACUCACAAUGUUCCUCCUUAAACCGGUAUGUAGUAGACGUUGUUUAGUAUUUUCUUCUCGCCUCCUUCCAAGAUAAAACUGAUUGAUACUUUUUUCUUUUAUGUCGAUACGAGAAUCAUCCCCAAAACAGACUUUUACUAUAACACCCUCAUCGAGUUUGAGAAAGAACACUCGGUUCCCACUCAUGUGGUUGCUUGCCCCAUUGUUAAGAUACCACACGUUUUCCAUACCUUGUUCGACAUCGAAGAUACUUGGUUUUACCUUUUUCUCGUUGAGAUAAACCACUUCAUACAUCAUAAAUUCAUCAGCUUCUUGUGUAUCUUAUUCUUUCUUCUCAACCGUUUCUUGCAGUUUGAGUAGCUUAUCAGGACAAUCAGCUGUGUAAUGUCCUUGCUUAUCACACUUGAAACAAGUGAUGUGGGCUGCAUCUAUGUUUUGACUUUGCUUAUACGCCUUUCUCUGUGCAUAGAAACCCUCGUAGCAACCUCAACCUCUUCCUCUCCAACUACCGCAUCCACCUCUUCCUCGUCCUCCUUGUCCGUAGCUCUCUUGUUGCAACUCAUUGCUGUUAGCGUACAUUAUUUUACCAUGAUCAUCAUGAUGCUCUUCUUCAUCUUCACACAUUCUCUCUUCGUAUGCUUUUAGUCUACCAACAAUGUCCUCAAAGCUAGUCAUUUUUAGGCCGAGAACCUGUUUAAGCGAUGCAACAAUAUGAAUGUAUUUUCUUAUUGGUAGAAUCUUCAAGAACUUCUUGACAAUCUUUGGUUCUUCAAUGAUUUCUCCUAAAGAGGCAGAUUUCGAUGAGAUUUCUGAAAGUUUUCCCACAAAAUUAUCGAUGGUAUAUUUUUCCUUCAUCUUAAGUUUAUCGAACUCAGCCAUUAGUGUUUGCAAACGUGCUUCUUGUACUCUCUCAGCUCCGUCAUGUAUUCCUUUGAUUGCAUUUCAUACUCCUUUGCUGUAUCGAGGUCGUCUACUUGUAGUAUUAGAGCCUCAGGAAUGGAUUGAAAUAGCAAAGCAAUAGCGAUGUUAUUCUUUUCCUUAUGUUUGCUUCGAGGAUCAAUAGUUUCCCAUACUUUAUUAACUUUGAUUGCAAUCUUCAUUCGCAUAGCCCAAACUGUGUAGUUGGUAGAGGUUAACAUCGAAAAUUUGAUGGACGAGGGUCUAUUUUUUUUGGUGUUUGUCUCAGCUUCUUCUUUCAUAUUGGCCAUGGUCGUCUUCUUCACAGUAUCGCUUGUUCACACUUUGGUUUCUUCGCAGUAUGACUCUGAUACCAAUUAUUGAAUCACAAACCAAUUUUAAUAAAAAGUCUUUAUCUUAUUAAUCACUCAAACUCUCAAAUCACUAAUCACAAAAUCACUCACAGAAUUCGCAAUUCACUCACCACAAUAUGCAUCCCUUUAUAUAGGAAUAUCGAUGACUCCUAAACCUAUUGAACUUAACAUAAUUCAUAUUUCUCUUUUUCUUAAACCUUUAUAAAACAUAAUUCGAUAGGUUUAGGAAACUUGCUUUUAAAGCUUUCUUCAAACUUACUCCAACAACAGUUUCUAGCUCUAAGUCGAAGAAAAUCACCUUUUUUCGCUGCUCUCCAUGGCUAGUUCUUCGAAAAAAAUGGCCGCAGAAGCUAAAUCAUCGGGCAAGCGGAAAAAGUCGGAAGAUGAUUUGGAGCAAGCUAAUAUAUUGGUGAAGCGCAAGCUGAAAGAUAAUUUGGAGACCAAACAUAUGAUUCUGAAGAAACAUAAGGUUGCUGUAAAAAAGAAAACGAUCUUGGUUGGCCGAGUCCCUACCCAUGCUGGUAUAGCAGAUAUCAUUGAUUUCUUCAAAGAUGUUGGACAAGUUGUUCGUGUUCAACGUAUUGUCAAACCCUGGCUGAAGGCGAAUACUAGAAUUGCCUUUGUUAAGUUUGCUUCUUCUAACGAAGCAGAGAAGGCUGCCCAAAAGCUUGAAAAUUUGCAGAUUUUUGGUCAGAUUAUUGCAUCUUACCGUCCUUCACGACUCAAGUAUUGCAAAGAUCACAUAGUCUGG
Molecule: RNA transcript, 7757 nt
Organism: Brassica rapa (field mustard)
Lineage: Eukaryota; Viridiplantae; Streptophyta; Magnoliopsida; Brassicales; Brassicaceae
Gene name: nuclear localization sequence-binding protein
Source: RefSeq, a predicted model, not a curated record